CUGAAACAGGAACUCAAUAGUAAGCACAAAAGACCACUAGGACUAGCCUAGGGUCAAGGAUGAAAGAAAAAAGUCAAGGCAGCAAGGAAAAGUCAACCAAAACCAAAGUCAAACAUUUGAGAAGCUAUCACAAUUGGUCCCACAUUCAAAUCAUGUAUUAUGAUCAUUUCAUGAACAUUUGAAAUCAAAGUAAGGCAAAGGAAAGCA
This 207-nucleotide long non-coding RNA is filed under the name Lathyrus oleraceus (garden pea). RNAcentral describes it as "Pisum sativum (pea) long non-coding RNA (PSAT_LNC028332)". The record is from RNAcentral. Lineage: Eukaryota; Viridiplantae; Streptophyta; Magnoliopsida; Fabales; Fabaceae.